GAAUGUAUGAGAAUACUACUUGGAUAACCGUAGUAAUUCUAGAGCUAAUACAUGCAACGACGCCCGACCGUUUCACUACGGAAGGGCUGUAUUUAUUGGAUACCAAAACCAUCCUUCCCUCGGGAAGUUUUGUUUGAUGAUUCACAAUAACUGAUCGGAUCGCCACUGUGGUGGCGACAGGUCAUUCAACAUUCUGCCCUAUCAGCUUUCGAUGGUUGUGUAGUGGACAACCAUGGCCAUAACGGGUAACGGAGAAUCAGGGUUCGAUUCCGGAGAAGGAGCUUGAGAAUUGGCUACUACAUCUAAGGAAGGCAGCAGGCGCGCAAAUUACCCAAUCCCGAUUCGGGGAGGUAGUGACAAAAAAUAACAAUACCGGGCCUUUUUGGGCUUGGUAAUUGGAAUGAGGGAGAGUUAAACGGACCAUCGAGUAUCCAUUGGAGGGCAAGUCUGGUGCCAGCAGCUGCGGUAAUACCAGCUCCAAUAGCGUAUAUUAAAGUUGUUGCAGUUAAAAAGCUCGUAGUUGGACUUGUGUGCGCUGUCCGCGGGUGGCCUGCGCCCAAAAGGGCGUUUCGGUUCGGCCCCAGUGGCGCCUUGAAAUCUGCAGCUGGGGGGACGUUGGCCUUAACUGGUCGGCGACCGCACGCCGGCUGCUCGGUUACUGUGAGAAAAUUAGAGUGUUCAAGGCAGGCAUUGGGUGCAAUUGAAUACAUUAGCAUGGAAUAAUAAAAUAUGGCUCCUGCCGUAUUUUGUUGGUUUUGACUGGUGGGAGUAAUGAUUGAUAGGGACGGUUGGGGGUGCUAGUAUUGAGCGGCCAGAGGUGAAAUUCAUGGAUUCGCUCAAGACUAACUUAUGCGAAAGCAUUCACCAAGGACGUCCUCUUUAAUCAAGAACGAAAGUUGGGGGAUCGAAGACGAUCAGAUACCGUCGUAGUCUCAACCAUAAACUAUGUCGACUUGGGAUCGGCGGUAGUUUUUUCAUUAAGACACUGUCGGGACCACGGGAGAAAUCAAAGCGUCUGGACUCUGGGGGAAGUAUGGUCGCAAGGCUGAAACUUGAAGGAAUUGACGGAAGGGCACCACCAGGAGUGGAGCCUGCGGCUUAAUUUGACCCAACACGGGGAAACUUACCAGGUCCAGAGAUAUAGAGGAUUGACAGAUUGAAGCUCUUUCUUGAUCACUUCGGUGGUGGUGCAUGGCCGUUCUUAGUUGGUGGAGUGAUUUGUCUGGUUAAUUUCGUUAACGAACGAGACCUCAGCCU
Molecule: ribosomal RNA, 1257 nt
Filed under: metagenome
Description: SSU rRNA
Rfam family: Eukaryotic small subunit ribosomal RNA
Source: RNAcentral